AACGUAGGAGGCGAGCGUUAUCCGGAUUUACUGGGCGUAAAGCGCACGCAGGUGGCACGGCAAGUUGGUUGUGAAAGCUCCUGGCUUAACUGGGAGAGGCCAAGCAAAACUGCCGCGCUUGAGGUUGGAAGAGGGGUGCGGAAUUCCCGGUGUAGCGGUGGAAUGCGUAGAUAUCGGGAGGAACACCAGUGGCGAAGGCGGCACCCUGGUCCACACCUGACGCUGAGGUGCGAAAGCGUGGGGAGUAAAC
RNAcentral lists this ribosomal RNA (250 nucleotides) under uncultured bacterium. Its description in RNAcentral is "partial 16S ribosomal RNA". It matches the Rfam family "Bacterial small subunit ribosomal RNA", at positions 524 to 773 of the family's 1533-position model. The record is from RNAcentral.